AUGCGUGCCGUGGUGGACACCCACAGAAGGUUCAUGGACCUCUCGGUGGUGUACACCAAUGACUCGGUCUGGGUGGAGCACUCCAUCCACAUCAUGGAGGUGUUGCUUGCCGAGGAGAUGUACAAGGUGGGCGUGUUCGACCUCGAGUACACCCGCGCUUGUGCCGGGUCUCGUCCCAAGGUCGCCGCCGCCCAGAUGUGCGUGCGCCACCACGUCCUCGUCUACCACUACUGCCUGGCCACAAGGCCUUGCGAGCAUUUCGCUAGGUUUGUCAACAACCCCCACUACAUGUUCGCUACGGUGGACAUCACCAACGAUGUAAAGGCGCUCGAGAAUUCGGGCAUCGCCUGCCAGAAUCUUGUCGACAUCCAGGGCCAAUACAAGAUCUGGGGCAGCAAGGAGCAUGAGAAGGACUCACUGGUUCACCUCGUCGAGGCCAUCAUCGACCCCUACUAUAGAGACAUGAAGGAUUCGUGCAACAAGGACAAGUGUGCCUGGCACUCGGCCUGGAUGGAGAAACUCGACAAAGCUCACGUCGUGUACGCGACCAAGGAGGCGUACAUGAGCUACGACAUGUACAGGCAGAUCGUUGACAUGAGGAAGUGCCUCCUUCCCCAAAACGGACAGGGAUCCAGAUGGAAGCAGAGCAAGGGCAAGCGUCGUCGCAACAAUAAGUAG
This 678-nucleotide ribosomal RNA is filed under the name Triticum aestivum (bread wheat). RNAcentral describes it as "partial small subunit ribosomal RNA". The record is from RNAcentral. Lineage: Eukaryota; Viridiplantae; Streptophyta; Magnoliopsida; Poales; Poaceae.